CCCUUAGAUGUUCUGGGCUGCACGCGUGCUACAAUGGCGCUUGCAACAAGUCUUGCCAACCCGAUAGGGUGAGCGGAUCUUUGAAGAGGCGUCGUGCUCGGGACAGUUGAUUGCAAUUAUUCGACUCGAACGAGGAAUUCCUUGUAAUCGCGAUUCAUCAUAUCGCGCUGAAUACGUCCCUGCCCUUUGUACACACCGCCCGUCGCUCCUACCGAUUGAGCGAUCCGGUGAAUGUUUUGGACUGGCGUCAGAAGCGGUUCGCUCCUGACACUACGAAAUUUUGUAAACCUUAUCGCUUAGAGGAAGGAAAAGUCGUAACA
RNAcentral lists this ribosomal RNA (320 nucleotides) under uncultured eukaryote. Its description in RNAcentral is "partial 18S ribosomal RNA". It matches the Rfam family "Eukaryotic small subunit ribosomal RNA", at positions 1470 to 1796 of the family's 1831-position model. The record is from RNAcentral.